CUUCAACGAGGAAUGCCUAGUAAGCGCGAGUCAUCAGCUCGCGUUGACUACGUCCCUGCCCUUUGUACACACCGCCCGUCGCUCCUACCGAUUGAAUGGUCCGGUGAAGUGUUCGGAUCGCGGCGACGGGGGCGGUUCGCCGCCCCCGACGUCGCGAGAAGUCCAUUGAACCUUAUCAUUUAGAGGAAGGAGAAGUCGUAACAAGGUUUCCGUAGGUGAACCUGCGGAAGGAUCAUUG
RNAcentral lists this ribosomal RNA (238 nucleotides) under Cinnagrostis tarmensis. RNAcentral describes it as "partial 18S ribosomal RNA". It matches the Rfam family "Eukaryotic small subunit ribosomal RNA", at positions 1598 to 1831 of the family's 1831-position model. The record is from RNAcentral. Lineage: Eukaryota; Viridiplantae; Streptophyta; Magnoliopsida; Poales; Poaceae.